UCUGCCUACGGGACGCAGCAGUGGGGAAUAUUGCACAAUGGGGGAAACCCUGAUGCAGCGACGCCGCGUGAGUGAAGAAGUAUUUCGGUACGUAAAGCUCUAUCAGCAGGGGAGAAUAAUGACGGUACCUGACUAAGAAGCCCCGGCUAACUACGUGCCAGCAGCCGCGGUAAUACGGAGGGGGCAAGCGUUAUCCGGAUUUACUGGGUGUAAAGGGAGCGUAGACGGCUGUGCAAGUCUGAAGUGACAUGCCGGGGCUCAACACCGGACGUGUGU
Molecule: ribosomal RNA, 276 nt
Filed under: uncultured bacterium
Lineage: Bacteria
Description: partial 16S ribosomal RNA
Rfam family: Bacterial small subunit ribosomal RNA
Source: RNAcentral